GCCUAACACAUGCAAGUCGAGCGGCAGCACGGGAAGCUUGCUUCCUGGUGGCGAGCGGCGGACGGGUGAGUAAUGCAUAGGAAUCUGCCCGGUAGUGGGGGAUAACCUGGGGAAACCCAGGCUAAUACCGCAUACGUCCUACGGGAGAAAGCAGGGGCUCUUCGGACCUUGCGCAAUCGGAUGAGCCUAUGUCGGAUUAGCUGGUUGGUGAGGUAAUGGCUCACCAAGGCGACGAUCCGUAGCUGGUCUGAGAGGAUGAUCAGCCACAUCGGGACUGGGACACGGCCCGAACUCCUACGGGAGGCAGCAGUGGGGAAUAUUGGACAAUGGGGCGCAAGCCUGAUCCAGCCAUGCCGCGUGUGUGAAGAAGGCCCUCGGGUUGUAAAGCACUUUCAGUGGGGAAGAACGCCUUCCGGUUAAUACCCAGGAGGAAAGACAUCACCCACAGAAGAAGCACCGGCUAACUCCCUGCCAGCAGCCGCGGUUAUACCGAGGGUGCGAGCGUUAAUCGGAAUUACUGGGCGUAAAGCGCGCGUAGGUGGGUUGAUUAACCGGUUGUGAAAGCCCCGGGCUCAACCUGGGAACGGCAUCCGGAACUGUCAGGCUAGAGUGCAGGAGAGGAAGGUAGAAUUCCCGGUGUAGCGGUGAAAUGCGUAGAGAUCGGGAGGAAUACCAGUGGCGAAGGCGGCUUCUGGACUGACACUGACACUGAGGUGCGAAAGCGUGGGUAGCAAACAGGAUUAGAUACCCUGGUAGUCCACGCCGUAAACGAUGUCGACUAGCCGUUGGGUCCUUCGCGGACUUUGUGGCGCAGUUAACGCGAUAAGUCGACCGCCUGGGGAGUACGGCCGCAAGGUUAAAACUCAAAUGAAUUGACGGGGGCCCGCACAAGCGGUGGAGCAUGUGGUUUAAUUCGAUGCAACGCGAAGAACCUUACCUACCCUUGACAUCCUGCGAACCCUUCGGAGACGAAGGGGUGCCUUCGGGAACGCAGAGACAGGUGCUGCAUGGCUGUCGUCAGCUCGUGUUGUGAAAUGUUGGGUUAAGUCCCGUAACGAGCGCAACCCUUGUCCCUAUUUGCCAGCGAUUCGGUCGGGAACUCUAGGGAGACUGCCGGUGACAAACCGGAGGAAGGUGGGGACGACGUCAAGUCAUCAUGGCCCUUACGGGUAGGGCUACACACGUGCUACAAUGGUCAGUACAAAGGGUUGCGAACUUGCGAGAGUGAGCCAAUCCCAGAAAGCUGAUCUCAGUCCGGAUCGGAGUCUGCAACUCGACUCCGUGAAGUCGGAAUCGCUAGUAAUCGUGAAUCAGAAUGUCACGGUGAAUACGUUCCCGGGCCUUGUACACACCGCCCGUCACACCAUGGGAGUGGACUGCACCAGAAGUGGUUAGCCUAACCUUCGGGAGGGCGAUCACCACGGUGUGGUUCAUGACUGGGGUGAAGUCGCAACAAGGUAGCCGUAGGGGAACCUGCGGCUGGAUCACCUCCUU
This 1494-nucleotide ribosomal RNA is filed under the name uncultured Halomonas sp. RNAcentral's name for it is "bacterial SSU rRNA". It matches the Rfam family "Bacterial small subunit ribosomal RNA". The record is from RNAcentral. Lineage: Bacteria; Pseudomonadati; Pseudomonadota; Gammaproteobacteria; Oceanospirillales; Halomonadaceae.